AGAUGUGAAAUGCCCGGGCUCAACCUGGGAACUGCAUUUGUGACUGCAUGGCUAGAGUGUGUCAGAGGGGGGUAGAAUUCCACGUGUAGCAGUGAAAUGCGUAGAGAUGUGGAGGAAUACCGAUGGCGAAGGCAGCCCCCUGGGAUAACACUGACGCUCAUGCACGAAAGCGUGGGGAGCAAACAGGAUUAGAUACCCUGGUAGUCCACGCCCUAAACGAUGUCUACUAGUUGUCGGGUCUUAAUUGACUUGGUAACGCAGCUAACGCGGAAGUAGAC
This 278-nucleotide non-coding RNA is filed under the name Oxalobacteraceae bacterium IMCC9480. Its description in RNAcentral is "Bacterial small subunit ribosomal RNA". It matches the Rfam family "Bacterial small subunit ribosomal RNA", at positions 590 to 869 of the family's 1533-position model. Lineage: Bacteria; Pseudomonadati; Pseudomonadota; Betaproteobacteria; Burkholderiales; Oxalobacteraceae. The record is from Rfam by way of RNAcentral.